GACGAACGCUGGCGGCGUGCUUAACACAUGCAAGUCGAACGGAAAGGCCCUGCUUUUGUUGGGUGCUCGAGUGGCGAACGGGUGAGUGACACGUGUGUAACCUGCCCUUGACUUUGGGAUAACUUCAGGAAACUGGGGCGAAUACCGGAUAUGAGCUCCUGCUGCAUGGGGGGGGUUGGAAAGUUUCGGCGGUUGGGGAUGGACUCGCGGCUUAUCAGCUUGUUGGUGGGGUAGUGGCUUACCAAGGCUUUGACGGGUAGCCGGCCUGAGAGGGUGACCGGCCACAUUGGGACUGAGAUACGGCCCAGAAUCCUACGGGAGGCAGAAGUGGGGAAUAUUGCACAAUGGGCGGAAGCCUGAUGCAGCAACGCCGCGUGCGGGAUGACGGCCUUCGGGUGGUAAACCGCUUUCGACUGUGACGAAGCGUGAGUGACGGUAAUGGGUAAAGAAGCACCGGCUAACUACGUG
This 468-nucleotide ribosomal RNA is filed under the name uncultured bacterium. RNAcentral's name for it is "partial 16S ribosomal RNA". It matches the Rfam family "Bacterial small subunit ribosomal RNA", at positions 28 to 507 of the family's 1533-position model. The record is from RNAcentral.